UACGAAGGGGGCUAGCGUUGCUCGGAAUUACUGGGCGUAAAGGGCGCGUAGGCGGAGAGUUUAGUCAGAGGUGAAAGCCCAGGGCUCAACCUUGGAAUUGCCUUUGAUACUGGCUGUCUUGAGUACGGGAGAGGUGAGUGGAACUCCGAGUGUAGAGGUGAAAUUCGUAGAUAUUCGGAAGAACACCAGUGGCGAAGGCGACUCACUGGCCCGUUACUGACGCUGAGGCGCGAAAGCGUGGGGAGCAAACAGG
Molecule: ribosomal RNA, 253 nt
Filed under: uncultured bacterium
Lineage: Bacteria
Description: partial 16S ribosomal RNA
Rfam family: Bacterial small subunit ribosomal RNA
Source: RNAcentral